This 254-nucleotide ribosomal RNA is filed under the name uncultured bacterium. RNAcentral's name for it is "partial 16S ribosomal RNA". It matches the Rfam family "Bacterial small subunit ribosomal RNA", at positions 524 to 776 of the family's 1533-position model. The record is from RNAcentral.
UACGUAGGGGCCAAGCGUUGUCCGGAUUUAUUGGGCGUAAAGAGCUCGUAGGCGGUUCGGCAAGUCAGCUGUGAAAUCUCCACGCUCAACGUGGAGGGGUCAGCUGAUACUGCUGUGACUCGAGUCCGGUAGGGGAGUGUGGAAUUCCCGGUGUAGAGGUGAAAUUCGUAGAUAUCGGGAGGAACACCAGUGGCGAAGGCGGCGAUCUGGGUUGAUACUGACGCUGAGGUGCGAAAGCGUGGGGAGCAAACAGG